GGCUGUAGGGGCACUAAGAGAUCCUGCUCUUACGGUCCUUUAACGGGGUAGUGGCAAACGGGUGAGUAACGCGAGGGAACGUGCCCAAAGGUAGGGAACAACCGAGGGAAACUUCGGCUAAUACCCUAUGUGCCCGUGAGGGGAAAGAUUUAUCGCCUUUGGAGCGGCCCGCGUCUGAUUAGCUAGUUGGUGGGGUAAAGGCUCACCAAGGCUUCGAUCAGUAGCUGGUCUGAGAGGAUGGCCAGCCACACUGGGACUGAGACACGGCCCAGACUCCUACGGGAGGCAGCAGUGGGGAAUCUUGCGCAAUGGGCGAAAGCCUGACGCAGCCAUGCCGCGUGGAUGAUGAAGGUCUUAGGAUUGUAAAAUCCUUUCAGCGGGGACGAUAAUGACGGUACCCGCAGAAGAAGCCCCGGCUAACUUCGUGCCAGCAGCCGCGGUAAUACGAAGGGGGCUAGCGUUGCUCGGAAUUACUGGGCGUAAAGGGAGCGUAGGCGGAUCGUUUAGUCAGGGGUGAAAUCCCGGGGCUCAACCUCGGAACUGCCUUUGAUACUGGCGAUCUUGAGUAUGGGAGAGGUGUGUGGAACUCCGAGUGUAGAGGUGAAAUUCGUAGAUAUUCGGAAGAACACCAGUGGCGAAGGCGACACACU
Molecule: ribosomal RNA, 650 nt
Filed under: bacterium
Lineage: Bacteria
Description: bacterial SSU rRNA
Rfam family: Bacterial small subunit ribosomal RNA
Source: RNAcentral